GUAUACUCGACCACCCGGCCACCUGUUUACUCGACCACCCGGCCACCUGUUUACUCGACCACUCGGCCACCUGUUUACUCAACCACCGUCCACCUACUUACUCGACCACCCGGCUAUCUGGCCACUACUAAUGCACCUCAAAGGCCACUUAACCAGUGUAAGUGUGAGCGUGUUGACCCCUGUUACUACGACUACUGCUGCUGGUGACGUAACCCCUCUACCGACACCACCACCACCACAACAACAAAUAUCUCCAGAUUUACGAAGAUUUUAAACACUGAUUUUGUCCUGAAAUGCAUCCAGAUAAGGUGAGCGAGUUUGUCGAAGGUUGGAUAUUUACUCGUUACGUGACGUCACACCUCAGCACACCUGUACCUCACACAUGACAGAAAUCAGCUGAUCACGAACCCACGAGCUGACGGGCGGACGACUCCAGCUGACCCAGACACGGAGGGUGCAGGGAGGUAACCUCAGCCUCAUUGGUGCAGAACGUUGGAUAGUUUAGAUUCCCCUCCAUACCUUCACGCAGUAAACCACAGCAAAACUAGUAAUUGAACACAUCCAUAUCAUUUGUUACGCCUUGAUACCAGCUGUCCCCUUAGCACCAGCUGCGCCACCCGGGAGAGUCGCUAAGCAGUUACAUCACCCAGACCAUCUUUGUGUCGUUCAUCGUAAGAUGGGUAAAUAUUAUGAGUUUUAUCCUGUCACACACACACACACACACACACACACACACACACGCGCACACACAGCAUCAUGUGAAGUUCCUC
Molecule: long non-coding RNA, 770 nt
Filed under: Homarus americanus (American lobster)
Lineage: Eukaryota; Metazoa; Arthropoda; Malacostraca; Decapoda; Nephropidae
Description: uncharacterized LOC121871501, transcript variant X1
Source: RNAcentral